Molecule: long non-coding RNA, 3025 nt
Organism: Syzygium oleosum
Lineage: Eukaryota; Viridiplantae; Streptophyta; Magnoliopsida; Myrtales; Myrtaceae
Exons: 3
Source: RefSeq, a predicted model, not a curated record
AAGUCAGAUAUGAUAUCUAAAUUAUGCAUCACCUUUUUUCCUCGUUGAUAUGUACCUGCAGCAACCCUGGAAAUUUGGUUUAGUUUGUUUCAACAUUUUAGUUUCCUUUUCUUAUAUGAUGACUUUGCCAUCAUUAUCCAAUAUGAGGAACUAUUUUACUUUGAUUUGUUUAAUGUUAAGUCAACUCAGUUAGCUGAGCUACCUUUUCUUAACACGUGUACAUGUGAAGACUACUUCGAGUGCUGUGACAGAUCACACUAGAAAGCUAUGACAGCAUGAUCUAUAUGUACAGCUAUACCCCAGACUUGGCCAGUUAGUUGCUUGAGAAAUGGGAGGAAGGUGAAGAUGUAGAAAAUUCAUGUCAAUAGCGAGACCUGGAGAAGAUUGAUGAUGCGAUGGAUUUACUUUAGAUCGUUAAGGUUCAUUUUGUUCUCAUUUGCUGGAUCUGGAUAUUCAACUUAUCUGGCAGCCAAGCUAAGUAUCGCAACAUCAGUAGUGUAGUAUCAUUAAUAUUCAGUACUGAAGAUGAUUCUCUUUCAGGCUCAAAAAAUAUGGGUUGAAAUUCAAUUUAGACAUUUGAUUCUAAAAGCUUAAGCCUGUUUUCAGACUGGAAUAUGAUUAUCUAGGCAAGUAAGAAGCACCAUCAUUGUUUUUCCUUUUCUUUCCCUACCUGAAUAGACCUGUAAAGGUAAAUUAGACAAUGGCCACGGAGGCAUAUUUUUGCUUCCCAUUAGAUCUCUAUGCGCAGAAGGCUUAUUAUUCAGUGACUUAACAUCGCAUCCUUGUCGACAGUCUAAGUAGGAGUCAAGGUGUAAUGCAAGCACUGGGUUAAGUUCAGAAACCAAGGGACCUUAGUUGUGCAAGCAUAACCGCAUCUGGCUCUGUCAUGUCUUCCCACUCAGAGAAGCUGUGCUUUAUAGAUAGGCGAUCAAUUUUUCUUUUAACCAUAGUACGUGAUCAGACUUUGCUGAGCAUGAAGGCAAAGGGAGACUCUCUUCACUCUCAAUGGAUGGCCAAAAACUAGUUGUAGAUUCAGUACCAGGUGGGUUACUUCUGUUGUGCUGUAAUGUGUAUUUGUGUGAUGAACUGGUGAGGCAGUAAGAGUGUCACUCAGAUAUUUCAAUUUUGCAUUCUAAACUGUAAUAUGUCAAGAUAUGUGCACUGUGGUGCCCUAGCAGAAGUCUUUAGCACAUAUUGGGUUACCAGUCAGUGCCAAAACUGAAGUGAAAAAUUCCUGGAACUAUUUCGAACCUGCAAAGUUCCAUUAGUUGUUGAGCAACGUUCUCAGCAAGAUUGUGGCAUACUGGUAAAGUACCAAUUCCAGCCAUCAGCAUCGUUCAGGAUUUAUCUUGUCAAUAUAUGUAUACACUGUGUAAUUUUUCCAGGUUGAAACUAAGAAUCUUGCAUCUAUACGGGGGAUUGAGGUUUAGAAGUUGCUUGGAAGGACGAAGUCUUGUGUUACUUGGGGUAAGAUUGUGGCGUUGGAGAUCAAAACGCCGCCAAUUUGAUCACAUUGAUACGAUCUUCCAAAGCUUCCUAAAUCAUCAAUUGUUAGAUAUAACUGGUGCUUCUUAAUUUUCAGAAUGAUUGAAUCUCGUUCUGGUGGUUGAGGUUGUGUAAACUGCAAAAGAUUCUGCUUCUUAUGUUGACUUUGAUAGGUUACAGGUAUAUUGACAUCCAUUCAUUAUGAUUAUGAAUCCCAAGGAGAGAACUGUUCUCUCCAUUCUUGUCCAUAUGGCCAACCGUUUUCUCUAUUAUUGCUCUCAGUAUAGCCACUUCUAAGUUUGAAGAGGUUGAUAUAAAUCAAGCAUUUUGGCCAAAGAUGAUCUUGUAAUUGGUGGGAGGGAAAGGCGGACUCAAGGGGGGCGCUAGCUCUCACCCCGGCCGUUAGGUCAAGGAAGGAAUGGCUCUCAUCAGUAAUCAGCUUCUUCAAGGCACCUGUCUGCAAUUUGCCAUUGUUGGUCGAGCGCGAAAGCAGCUGGUUCUUCAAGUGACUUACUUGGUCACGGGGACUUUCUUCCGCGAAACUCCUUGGAUUAAAGAAGCAAUACGUCCAGUAGCGAUAUCCUAAGUUGGCUGCAAUUAGAAAAUAGGCCCAUUCCAUCUAUCUUUCGCCAUUAGAAGAUCCCGAGGGAAUGAUCUUGAACAAUAACAUCACCUAUACCUAUGCACGAAGCACCUAAUCAAUGAGACCUUUUAAGGAAAUAACUGUGCUAAAUGCCAAUCACUGCAAGAUCCUCGGAGUCUAUGAUUCAGACCGGUCUCUCCAAAUGUUGGACAAGAGAAACAGGUUGGGAUUGGGAACUUGGGAGGUCCCUCGUAGGACUUAAGUAUGUGUCCUUACCUAAUUCACGAACCACGUCUCGGGAAGGGCAAACCCUUUGUGUUGUCCAAUUAGUGAUUGGUUUUGAGCAGGGAAUUAUUGGUUUGUAGGUAUACUACCCACGAUGGGCGUAGAUGCACGACUAGUGUUACUUUUUCAAAUGGAAAGUUGCAUCCACCUCUUUAUGAAAAGAUCUCAUGGGCCCAUUUACCUAAAAGUCUCCGUCUAAAAUUAGGGAGACCAAGCCCUGUCAUAGAUUUAUUUUCAAUAAUGCUAGCCAUUGACAUGUAAGUCCAAACAAUCUCUCUCUCUCAUAAGUUUUUCUACAUUCUUUGGGGUAGGACACUUCUCCUACAAGAAUAUGAUAUGUCGAGGUUCAGGCGAAGGCAUUGUUUACAUUAGCCACAUACAUGAUGGCCUCAGUGUAAACGAAUGAAGGGACUUACAUGUCAAUGGCUUUGCCUGGGGCAUGCACCCGAAGACCUCAGGAACAAAAAAGAUAAUGAAUUUCUAUUAUUGGAAAGGAAUCUCAAUGUGGCAUGAUUUUAGGUGAUGACAGGGAAUGGAUGUUGACCCAUUAACAAAGGAGAUAAUACCAAACAAAUCCAUCUCAUCGAGCGGGGUUUUUAAUGAUGCAAGUGGGCACCUUUGCCUGUGCUUUGAUUAUUCAAAUGUUUUGGUUGAAAUGGCAUUGGAUCAGAG